This 490-nucleotide ribosomal RNA is filed under the name uncultured bacterium. RNAcentral describes it as "partial 16S ribosomal RNA". It matches the Rfam family "Bacterial small subunit ribosomal RNA", at positions 30 to 507 of the family's 1533-position model. The record is from RNAcentral.
AUUGAACGCUGGCGGCAGGCCUAACACAUGCAAGUCGAACGGUAACAGGAAACAGCUUGCUGUUUCGCUGACGAGUGGCGGACGGGUGAGUAAUGUCUGGGAAACUGCCUGAUGGAGGGGGAUAACUACUGGAAACGGUAGCUAAUACCGCAUAACGUCGCAAGACCAAAGAGGGGGACCCUCGGGCCUCUUGCCAUCGGAUGUGCCCAGAUGGGAUUAGCUUGUUGGUGGGGUAACGGCUCACCAAGGCGACGAUCCCUAGCUGGUCUGAGAGGAUGACCAGCCACACUGGAACUGAGACACGGUCCAGACUCCUACGGGAGGCAGCAGUGGGGAAUAUUGCACAAUGGGCGCAAGCCUGAUGCAGCCAUGCCGCGUGUAUGAAGAAGGCCGUCGGGUUGUAAAGUACUUUCAGCGGGGAGGAAGGGAGUAAAGUUAAUACCUUUGCUCAUUGACGUUACCCGCAGAAGAAGCACCGGCUAACUCCGUG